GAUGAACGCUAGCGGCAGGCCUAACACAUGCAAGUCGAGGGGCAUCGCGGUGCAGCAAUGCACUGGCGGCGACCGGCGUACGGGUGCGUAACGCGUAUGCAACCUGCCCCGCACCGGGGGAUAGCCCGCCGAAAGGCGGAUUAAUACCCCAUGGUCCCGGGGGCCCGCAUGGGCAUCCGGGUAAAGCCUUGGCGGUGCGGGAUGGGCAUGCGUGCCAUUAGCUGGCUGGUGGGUAACGGCCCACCAGGGCAACGAUGGCUAGGGGGUCUGAGAGGAUGGUCCCCCACACUGGUACUGAGACACGGACCAGACUCCUACGGGAGGCAGCAGUGAGGAAUAUUGGUCAAUGGGCGGAAGCCUGAACCAGCCAUGCCGCGUGCGGGAUGAAGGCCCUACGGGUUGUAAACCGCUUUUCCCCGGGAAGAAUAACCCCGAUGAGUCGGGGAUGCCGGUACCGGGGGAAUAAGGAUCGGCUAACUCCGUG
This 484-nucleotide ribosomal RNA is filed under the name uncultured bacterium. RNAcentral's name for it is "bacterial SSU rRNA". It matches the Rfam family "Bacterial small subunit ribosomal RNA", at positions 28 to 507 of the family's 1533-position model. The record is from RNAcentral.